This 424-nucleotide ribosomal RNA is filed under the name uncultured Nitrosomonas sp. Its description in RNAcentral is "bacterial SSU rRNA". It matches the Rfam family "Bacterial small subunit ribosomal RNA", at positions 198 to 603 of the family's 1533-position model. The record is from RNAcentral. Lineage: Bacteria; Pseudomonadati; Pseudomonadota; Betaproteobacteria; Nitrosomonadales; Nitrosomonadaceae.
GGAGAAAAGUAGGGGAUCGAAAGACCUUGCGCUUAAGGAGCGGCCGAUGUCUGAUUAGCUAGUUGGUGGGGUAAAGGCCUACCAAGGCGACGAUCAGUAGUUGGUCUGAGAGGACGACCAACCACACUGGGACUGAGACACGGCCCAGACUCCUACGGGAGGCAGCAGUGGGGAAUUUUGGACAAUGGGCGCAAGCCUGAUCCAGCCAUGCCGCGUGAGUGAAGAAGGCCUUCGGGUUGUAAAGCUCUUUCAGUUGGGAAGAAACGAUUGCAACUAAUAAUUGUAAUUAAUGACGGUACCGACAGAAGAAGCACCGGCUAACUACGUGCCAGCAGCCGCGGUAAUACGUAGGGUGCGAGCGUUAAUCGGAAUUACUGGGCGUAAAGGGUGCGCAGGCGGUUUUGUAAGUCAGAUGUGAAAUCCC